CAUCCUCCAAGGCUAAAUACUCCUGACUGACCGAUAGUGAACCAGUACCGUGAGGGAAAGGCGAAAAGAACCCCGGCGAGGGGAGUGAAAAAGAACCUGAAACCGUGUACGUACAAGCAGUGGGAGCACAGGUUUACCUGUGUGACUGCGUACCUUUUGUAUAAUGGGUCAGCGACUUAUAUUCUGUAGCAAGGUUAACCGAAUAGGGGAGCCGGAGGGAAACCGAGUCUUAAUUGGGCGUUAAGUUGCAGGGUAUAGACCCGAAACCCGGUGAUCUAGCCAUGGGCAGGUUGAAGGUUGGGUAACACUAACUGGAGGACCGAACCGACUAAUGUUGAAAAAUUAGCGGAUGACCUGUGGCUGGGGGUGAAAGGCCAAUCAAACCGGGAGAUAGCUGGUUCUCCCCGAAAGCUAUUUAGGUAGCGCCUCGUGAAUUCAUCUCCGGGGGUAGAGCACUGUUUCGGCUAGGGGGCCAUCCCGGCUUACCAACCCGAUGCAAACUGCGAAUACCGGAGAAUGUUAUCACGGGAGACACACGGCGGGUGCUAACGUCCGUCGUGAAGAGGGAAACAACCCAGACCGCCAGCUAAGGUCCCAAAGUCAUGGUUAAGUGGGAAACGAUGUGGGAAGGCCCAGACAGCCAGGAUGUUGGCUUAGAAGCAGCCAUCAUUUAAAGAAAGCGUAAUAGCUCACUGGUCGAGUCGGCCUGCGCGGAAGAUGUAACGGGGCUAAACCAU
This 737-nucleotide ribosomal RNA is filed under the name Salmonella enterica subsp. enterica. RNAcentral describes it as "partial 23S ribosomal RNA". It matches the Rfam family "Bacterial large subunit ribosomal RNA", at positions 454 to 1190 of the family's 2925-position model. RNAcentral also lists the same sequence under 1 other name. The record is from RNAcentral. Lineage: Bacteria; Pseudomonadati; Pseudomonadota; Gammaproteobacteria; Enterobacterales; Enterobacteriaceae.